GAUGGGCUGACCCACCUCGCACCUCAGCUUGUAGCCUCAGCUUGGUCCUCGUUGCUUGGAAUUCAGUCUUCCCUCUCUCUUAACCCCAGCUUGGCUAUUGGAAAACGAUUAGCAGAGAUUCAGUGGAGGCGUUUUCUCCUGGAAAAGGGUAUCUUGUAUGGGAUCGCGAUCUAAGGCGUCGGGUCUUAAACACACUAAAGAAAAACAGCGAAAGAGAAUCCAGCCAAGAGAAAUUUGCCCCUCUCGAAGGAAGGCUGAGCAAAAAACUGGGGACACUAAGGAGGAGCCUCGAGGAGGAGUGUUCUCAGAAUUCAGCUUAGCCUAUCGGAUGAGACACAGAAGCACCUCCUAUGCCUGGACACUCUGAACAGCUCUUCUUUACAACAGCUGAAACAUAGAUAAUGCAAACUAAUUUUUAAAUCUCAGUUUUAAAAAUACAUAUUUUUAUUAUUGCAUAUUGAGGGAUGAAGGAAUACUAUUCUACAGUGACCUUCUAUUGAGAAACACAAAAGAAGUUUUAUAUAUUAACAUUCAAUAUUUUUUAAUCCAAGGGCAUGGUAAUUUUUUUUCUUAUUUCUUAGCCCCCUUUUAUCUAAUUCCCACAGAUAUCAUUCAACUAAGAGGGGAAGGAAAAUUUCAUACAAUAUUACUUAACAAUAAAUCCAAUGUUUGGUAUCAAGUAUAUAGUCAAGAAGGGAUCAAUCAAAACCCCAUCUUUAAAUAAGUACGGUAUAUUAUACUACCCAACUGAUCAACUUGCACCAGAAGGGGGCACCAGCCAACCAUGCACAAUACUGUUCUGUCUGGCAAUAUUAUAAUUAAAGCCUCAAAUAUCUUUCUCUGCCUUUCUCCCAGUGCCUGGCACAAUAUCUUUAAAAUAGCUUUCAAAAACAAUUGCAUCUAGGCCAAAGGGGGAAGGGGUAAUUAUAUGCAUCUUCUUCCUAGCACAGAGAAAACUGCCCAGGAAGCUAGAGAUUGACCAUUCUAUAUUACUUUCCCAACUGAACAAUAUUACUGAGACAUUUUCUGACAUU
Notechis scutatus (mainland tiger snake) is the source of this 1034-nucleotide non-coding RNA. The record is from RefSeq and is a predicted model, not a curated record. Lineage: Eukaryota; Metazoa; Chordata; Lepidosauria; Squamata; Elapidae.